CUACGGGAGGCAGCAGUGGGGAAUAUUGCGCAAUGGGCGGAAGCCUGACGCAGCGACGCCGCGUGGGGGAUGACGGCCUUCGGGUUGUAAACCUCUUUCGACCUCGACGAAGCGUAAGUGACGGUAGGGGUAGAAGAAGCACCGGCCAACUACGUGCCAGCAGCCGCGGUAACACGUAGGGUGCGAGCGUUGUCCGGAAUUAUUGGGCGUAAAGAGCUCGUAGGCGGUGUGUCGCGUCGGCCGUGAAAACCUGUGGCUUAACCAUGGGCUUGCGGUCGAUACGGGCAUCACUGGAGUUCGGCAGGGGAGACUGGAAUUCCUGGUGUAGCGGUGAAAUGCGCAGAUAUCAGGAGGAACACCGGUGGCGAAGGCGGGUCUCUGGGCCGAUACUGACGCUGAGGAGCGA
RNAcentral lists this ribosomal RNA (406 nucleotides) under uncultured bacterium. RNAcentral describes it as "bacterial SSU rRNA". It matches the Rfam family "Bacterial small subunit ribosomal RNA", at positions 339 to 756 of the family's 1533-position model. The record is from RNAcentral.